This 482-nucleotide ribosomal RNA is filed under the name uncultured bacterium. RNAcentral's name for it is "partial 16S ribosomal RNA". It matches the Rfam family "Bacterial small subunit ribosomal RNA", at positions 28 to 523 of the family's 1533-position model. The record is from RNAcentral.
GACGAACGCUGGCGGCGUGCUUAACACAUGCAAGUCGAACGAUGAAGCCCAGCUUGCUGGGUGGAUUAGUGGCGAACGGGUGAGUAACACGUGGGUGAUCUGCCCUGCACUUCGGGAUAAGCCUGGGAAACUGGGUCUAAUACCGGAUAGGACCUCGGGAUGCAUGUUCCGGGGUGGAAAGGUUUUCCGGUGCAGGAUGGGCCCGCGGCCUAUCAGCUUGUUGGUGGGGUAACGGCCCACCAAGGCGACGACGGGUAGCCGGCCUGAGAGGGCGACCGGCCACACUGGGACUGGGACACGGCCCAGACUCCUACGGGAGGCAGCAGUGGGGAAUAUUGCACAAUGGGCGCAAGCCUGAUGCAGCGACGCCGCGUGAGGGAUGACGGCCUUCGGGUUGUAAACCUCUUUCAGUACCGACGAAGCGCAAGUGACGGUAGGUACAGAAGAAGCACCGGCCAACUACGUGCCAGCAGCCGCCGUAA